This 508-nucleotide ribosomal RNA is filed under the name uncultured Glomeromycotina. Its description in RNAcentral is "SSU rRNA". It matches the Rfam family "Eukaryotic small subunit ribosomal RNA", at positions 569 to 1078 of the family's 1831-position model. Lineage: Eukaryota; Fungi; Glomeromycota. The record is from RNAcentral.
AGCAGCCGCGGUAAUUCCAGCGCCAAUAGCGUAUAUUAAAGUUGUUGCAGUUAAAAAGCUCGUAGUUGAAUUUCGGGGUCAGCAGGUUGGUCGUGCCUCUGGUACGCACUGGUUUCGCUGAUUCCUCCUUUCUGAAGAACUGUAAUGUCAUUAAUUUGGUGUUGCAGGGAAACAGGACUGUUACUUUGAAAAAAUUAGAGUGUUUAAAGCAAGCUAACGCUUGAAUACAUUAGCAUGGAAUAAUGAAAUAGGACGUUUGAUCCUAUUUUGUUGGUUUCUAGGAUUGACGUAAUGAUUAAUAGGGAUAGUUGGGGGCAUUAGUAUUCAAUUGUCAGAGGUGAAAUUCUUGGAUUUAUUGAAGACUAACUACUGCGAAAGCAUUUGCCAAGGAUGUUUUCAUUAAUCAAGAACGAAAGUUAGGGGAUCGAAGACGAUCAGAUACCAUCGUAGUCUUAACCAUAAACUAUGCCGACUAGGGAUCGUAUGAUGUUAAUUUUUUAAUGACUCA